CCUACGGGAGGCAGCAGUGGGGAAUUUUGGACAAUGGGCGCAAGCCUGAUCCAGCAAUGCCGCGUGAGUGAAGAAGGCCUUCGGGUUGUAAAGCUCUUUUGUCAGGGAAGAAACGGUCUACUCUAAUACAGUGGGCUAAUGACGGUACCUGAAGAAUAAGCACCGGCUAACUACGUGCCAGCAGCCGCGGUAAUACGUAGGGUGCAAGCGUUAAUCGGAAUUACUGGGCGUAAAGCGUGCGCAGGCGGUUAUAUAAGUCAGAUGUGAAAUCCCCGGGCUCAACCUGGGAACUGCAUUUGAGACUGUAUGGCUAGAGUGUGUCAGAGGGGGGUAGAAUUCCACGUGUAGCAGUGAAAUGCGUAGAUAUGUGGAGGAAUACCGAUGGCGAAGGCAGCCCCCUGGGAUAACACUGACGCUCAUGCACGAAAGCGUGGGGAGCAAACAGGAUUAGAUACCCUGGUAGUCCACGCCCUAAACGAUGUCUACUAGUUGUCGGGGACUUAAUUGUCUUGGUAACGCAGCUAACGCGUGAAGUAGACCGCCUGGGGAGUACGGUCGCAAGAUUAAAAACUCAAAAGUAGUAGUACGGACGUGAGACGUAGCGACGACGACACGACGGGAGGGUUAGG
This 629-nucleotide ribosomal RNA is filed under the name uncultured bacterium. RNAcentral's name for it is "bacterial SSU rRNA". It matches the Rfam family "Bacterial small subunit ribosomal RNA", at positions 338 to 1433 of the family's 1533-position model. The record is from RNAcentral.